UGGGGAAUAUUGCACAAUGGGCGCAAGCCUGAUGCAGCCAUGCCGCGUGUGUGAAGAAGGCCUUCGGGUUGUAAAGCACUUUCAGUCGUGAGGAAGGUAGUGUAGUUAAUAGCUGCAUUAUUUGACGUUAGCGACAGAAGAAGCACCGGCUAACUCCGUGCCAGCAGCCGCGGUAAUACGGAGGGUGCGAGCGUUAAUCGGAAUUACUGGGCGUAAAGCGCAUGCAGGUGGUUUGUUAAGUCAGAUGUGAAAGCCCGGGGCUCAACCUCGGAAUUGCAUUUGAAACUGGCAGACUAGAGUACUGUAGAGGGGGGUAGAAUUUCAGGUGUAGCGGUGAAAUGCGUAGAGAUCUGAAGGAAUACCGGUGGCGAAGGCGGCCCCCUGGACAGAUACUGACACUCAGAUGCGAAAGCGUGGGGAGCAAACAGGAUUAGAUACCCUGGUAGUCCACGCCGUAAACGAUGUCUACUUGGAGGUUGUGGCCUUGAGCCG
Molecule: ribosomal RNA, 492 nt
Filed under: Vibrio sp. I4
Lineage: Bacteria; Pseudomonadati; Pseudomonadota; Gammaproteobacteria; Vibrionales; Vibrionaceae
Description: bacterial SSU rRNA
Rfam family: Bacterial small subunit ribosomal RNA
Source: RNAcentral